CGGAAGGCAACGACGUGUGACGACGACCUCAGCCUGCAACGUGAGCUCCCUGACUGACAACAAACACAUUUCGGUUGCAGACUUGUCUUGUUCUGAAAAUGGCAGUUGUUGUUGUAGCUUAGGGCGGUGAGCCUGUUCUUUGCUCUUCCUCGACGACCUUUCUGCGGUCAUGCCUCCUGGCUAUCGCUGCGAGUUUGGUUGAUCCAUGGUCGUAUGGGGAAUAUGUGCAUCGGUAUGUAUGUGUGGGCUUUAAGCAUGCUUCUGAGAAAAAAUUCUAUCCAAUUUAAACACUGCAUGUCUACCAUGCUUGUGGCAUGGGGGGGUUACUUGAGGGAAUAAGACUGGUUGUUAGUUUGCUUAUUAGUAGCUCUGUUCCAUGGCGAUAUUGUACUUAAAUGUGCACAUGUGGAUUUUAAGCAUGCUUUUUUUGUCUUAUCUCUGUAUCUGGUCCUCUUUGUCUGGAAUUCUAAGGCCAUUAAAUUUAUGAUUGAAAAGAUGAGUUGCUAUAUGUGGGCUUCUAGGUCUCCUGUAGUUUCUAAAACACAUGCAUUUAUAUGUCAUGUUCUGUUAUUCCUAAAGAUAAAAGACUCCUUUGUAUUGUUGAAAACUCUCCUAUAGUUUCAGAAACAUGUUGCAUCUUCAGCCUGCAUGUAUCUUGUGUAUUCUUCUUUUGGUCCUAAGUACAAGGACCUUCGUUUUGACCGGUGGGCCAAAAGAGUGGUAGUUUGUGAGGGAUGUUCUCUGAGCGUAUGUGACUAGCAGCCUGACGAUAAUUGGCGAAUAUAUUUUUUAUGACACGAUUGAAGAGAUGUGAUCACGUGCAAGGAAAGUUUUCAAGUGACUAGUGGCUAGUUUUGUUAGUACUUAUGUAGUGUGGGAAAUAUGCACAGGUAUGUCCAUGUGAUGUUUAAGCAUGCUUCUUGAAUACCCGAAUUCCUAAUACAGAGCUUUGUAACUAGCAUUCUUUAUCUGAUAAUCUGUUGCCUGCUAGACAUGAUUUACAGUAUGUGUAUUGCUAGUUCUCUCAUAGUAUCAGAAACGCAUGACUUAAUCUAUCCUUUUUUUGUUAAUCCUGAGGAUAAAACUCAUAUUUGUAUGUUGCUUAACUCUCCCAUAGCUUUAGUGCAUCAUCAAACUGCAUGUAUCUGUGUUCUUCUUGUGGUCCCGAGGGUAAAAGAUCAUCUUUGUUUUGCAGAUUGGUAAGCCCAUGAGAAUAUGUUCAAGCGCUCCGGAGAAUAUGUUCAUAGGACCAAAGAUCUUCUCACCAGCUAUAAAGGCAUUGAGUGGCAGGUAUGCACUGCCAACAUCGAGGUUCUCUUUGUUUCGAACACACACAUAAAUAUUCUACGGUUGAUUUUGUAGAGGCCACAAAUGAGGACCCUGGGUUUUGUUCUUUCUGUUGUUUACAUGCCCAGGAAAGUGCCUUCUUGUUGUUGAAGCUAACUUUGAUAGGCUUAUGCUGGCUUCCUUUCUUGGAAAAGCCCAUGAUUUUGUUGCAACUCCAAAUUACCGAGUUAGGAUAGGAAUAAGGAGAAGCCAAAUCUAAUUCUUAUAUAGUAAUGAAACAUAUAUACAUUGAAAGGUCAUUUAUGUUUCUCCAGAUGGACCCAUGAAUCAUUAUAUUCUGGAAACCAAAAAUAUAUGAUGCACCAAAUAUUCUUAAACUGCUUGGAUGAGCACCCAGCUACUAGAGGAACUUUCGGGAUUUUAACUUUUUAAGUGUAAAUUUUCUCUUUCAACAUGUAAAUACUCCAAAUUUUUUUUACUUUAGUAGCUUGUCUCGUCCUGUAACAUUGGUACUUUAGUCAUUCAGAUAGAGUUCAUUGAUUUUUUACAUUCAUUGUUCAGUGUACCUGUGUUGGACAACUCUGCCUUGCAAAUCACGUUACAGGGGAGCAAUUUGCUCUUGUUCGGAAUUGAGGUGACAAUUAUCUUUUGCAUCUUUCUUUUGUUGUUGCUCAUGCAUCAAUAAUGUUUAUUUAUGCUUGUGGCAAUGGAUAAAAAUGAACUUAUUGAGCUCAUUUGUUGUAUGAUGCAGAAUGUGCCUUCAAAGCAACUCCUUGGGCGUGCUUGUGGAGUGACUAGCAACGAGGGUAGCUAGCUGAAACAGCCGAUCCAGAGUCUCAAGGUGAUCCCAUUGCUUCCACAUUUUGUGAUAUUUGCUGAUUUCUAAAUAACUGUAUAACCAUCUGUGUUUAUGUUAAUCGGCGAUCCCAAGAUUGUCAUGUUAAUCAUGCUGCCAUUAUGUCGUCAUCUUAUAUUUGUGACUCGUGCUAUCAAUAAGAACAUGUGUCAUGGCUGUUGAAUUCCUCCCUAGACUCAACAAAUGCUGAAAUGGCUAAUGGUUUAUGAGUUUGAGAAUUGGGAGCUACCUACUAGUGUACGUACGAUUGCUCAUGUUGUGGAUUAUCUUUCCAGUUGUUAUGUUUAGUCAAACCUAUAGUAUCGGCUAUAAUCUGCAUCUUGCUAUAACCCUAUUGCUUGUGUGUAUUGAUCACGUCGUGUGCUCAUAUGAGUUUUUCCAGGUUAAGAAUCUUGAACUUUGACUAAAAAUAAAUCACAACUCAAGUUUCCUUUAUAAAGCAUCGCAAAUACAUAUGCCACUCAAGUAUGAAGAGCACUUAUGUCUCUUGUUAUGAUGUAUGUGCCUAUUAUAUAUAGUUGUGUUGGGUUUUUUUGUCUUUAGAAGAGGAUUGUUUUAGUUAGGUGUCUUCUCUCUUUAAAAUACACAGGGAUCAGGUUGGUGGAGCUCUGACUCGUUAACCUUAAUUUAAAUUCACAACACUAUGCCUUGUAGUUAGGUGCCUCCUCGUCGAAGUCUGAAUAGUCACUGCCAUGCCGCAGAUUUUGAAUUACUAGUCCAGAUUUGUCUACUUUAGUUUGAUUACGAAUGAUAACAAGUUUGCACCCUUAUCUUUGCUCUGUUUUAUUUCCCUAGGUACCUUAUUUUGUCCAGUCAACAUCUCUGAAUUCUCUCCUAACGGCAGCAGGUGACUUCCUCACCAGCAACAUUUUUUAAAACAUGUUGGUGAUGUUUGCACAGGAGCUCGGUGUUGCUUCCAUACUCUGUUCUGUUGGUCAAGUUGGUGCUGCUCCCUCUGCAGUGCAGGAGAACAAUACCCAUAGAGAUGUGUGGAGUGGGCUAUGUCAUCCUUUGACCACCAUGAUUGGCUUCUACCGACGAGGUGAGGUGAUUGAUCUUUUUGAUGUUCAAUUCAUCAAUUGUCAUUUCAAAUCCUUGGACUGGUGGCCGAGAUUGUAUUAGUUAUUCGUAGAGAUAUAUUUUGUACCAAAGUUAAAUUAGUAAGCUUCAGUAUUUGUGCAUGUGUCUUUUCCCUUUCGAGCAAAUGAAGUCCCUGUUAGAAAAUUUUAGGAUCAGAUGUUUUAUCCUUUGUGAUGCAAUCAAAGGCUAAAGAUUUCAUCUCACUAUUGGUUGAGAUUUUAGAUUUUCUUUGACCAGAGCAGUGUCCAUCAAUUUUAGGAUCAGAUGUUUUAUCCUUUGUGAGAAUUUCUAGCUUCUAUGAAUAUACAAUCAUCAACUCUGUACCAAACAUAUCGUAUGUUGUUCAGGCUCAUGUAGCUCUAAUAUUGAGUGCCUCAAAAUAGAACUCUCCGAAAAAUUCCAGUAACUUUAUAACAGCUUCAUUUUAUAUUCCAAGCACUUGGCUUCAAUGGUGAACAAAGCAUCCACCUGACAGCCCUACAGCUUCAUGUUUGAUGUUUUUUGUCAGGAUUUAUGGCUUUUAUUAGUAUACAUGUUUACCUCCAAUCUGGUAGUGGUACUUUUAUGUCUAGAGUUGCUUCUGCUAGCUACACCCUCUGCAAAGUCAUUUAUAUGUUGGUUGUUGCAGCAGCGCCGGCUUGUGGCCCUUGGUGUCUAGAACGGUGAUGAAGACGAUAACAAAGACGAUUGUGGCCUGUACGAAGGCUUCUAGGCAGUGGAUAAGAAGCAGGGCCACCUUGUCCUGGUGCUCUCAGGUGAGAAUGGCCCUUAGUCUAACAUGCCCGAGUUGUAAUAUGGCAUGAUUGAGGAGCUUCCUUUACUAGAUUAUUUUGGAAGUGUUAAAAACUAAGACUGUUGGUUGUUGUGCAUCAGAUGCCUGAGUUUGGUGCCUAUCGAGAUUGACGAUGAAGAUGUCAUUGCCCGCAUACGUGCCAGGGCACGAAAGAGAGAAGAAGUGGCCCCCGAGAGUCGAGAUGUGGAAAGCCCUAGGUAAAGUGGCAAGAUGACCAGACGUGCAACUUGUGCUUUUCUUUGUUGGCUGGAGGUUGCUGCUGAAGUGAUAUUGACGUGCUGGUGCUGGUACAUAGACAGGCCUGGUUUACUUGAUGGUGGCUGACUUGUCGGCUGGCGUGUAUUGAGCCGAAGAAGUAGUAGUGUUGAAUUCUAAGCUCUUGUUGAUGUUUUUUUAUUUUCUCGUGUGAGAGGGUGAUAUAUCAAGUGUAAAGUUUUGCAUGCUUGUUUCUAUGGAUCUGUUUGAAAUGAAACUGAGACUUGUGUGUCAGGCCUGUCUAUCAGUCUCUUAAUGUUCCUCACGCUAUGCAAUGCAUAAUAUCUAUCUGUUGGAAGGAUCAUCUAAAUCUGGUCCCUCGUGAUAUGCCAUGCAGGUGAUGUCAUCGACGACGGGUCCAUUGGAGUCGGUCUUGGUUUGAGGUGAGGUGAGGUGAGGUAUAUGUAAUCGUUUUAGCGAUUCUUAGAUUUGUUCCCUUGUCCAUCUGAUACUCUCUAGUCUACUAGCUAGAUAGUGUAUCAUGAUGGCUGUCGUGACCGUGAGUGCGUACACAAGCUACAUUUUCUGCGUUAAUUGUGGUAUGCUAAAUAGAUCUGACCAGGCUUUUGCCGUGAACAUCUAUUUGGACCUGCGUUCAAAACUACUUGAGUAUUUAUUUUCAGAAUUUUUU
This 4902-nucleotide long non-coding RNA is filed under the name Triticum aestivum (bread wheat). RNAcentral's name for it is "long non-coding RNA (TAES_LNC006569)". The record is from RNAcentral. Lineage: Eukaryota; Viridiplantae; Streptophyta; Magnoliopsida; Poales; Poaceae.